Molecule: long non-coding RNA, 562 nt
Filed under: Homo sapiens (human)
Lineage: Eukaryota; Metazoa; Chordata; Mammalia; Primates; Hominidae
Description: novel transcript
Source: RNAcentral
AUCCCUUCCAGCCUCAGAGCCCGCCUGGCAGGACUACUGAGCAAGGCCUUGGAAAAUCGGAGCGAUUAGAGCGGACCUGAGUGAGCAGAAGGCUUUUCAGAAUUACAGCCUGAACUAUUUCUUGAGCAAUUUGGGAACUCAUUUCUAAAGCAGUCCUCAGAUUCACACAACGUAGUUUGUGACGGAGUAUGCCCAGAGCAGUGUGGAAGAUGAUCAAAGUAUGACAUUUCUUCUACCCCAGAGGCUGGCAUUUCUGCAGGCACAAAUGAGCUUGGUUUUCAAGCACUGCUCUUUGAACACAAGGAAUUCCUUUAAUGAUCACGCCGGACUAUAUAGACUUUGGAAUCAGACUCUUUGAAUUCCAGCUCUGCCAUUUACCAACUUUGACACUUUGGACAACGUCUCAUUCUGUCACCCAGGCUGGAGUGCAGUGGCACAAUUAUAGCUCACUGCAGCCUCAAACACCUGGGCUCAAGCAAUCCUUCCACCUCUGCCUCCUGAGUAAUUGGGACUACAGGGAUGGGGAAUGACUAUCUCCAAUUAAACUUCUCAGUAAAAUCUC